GUGAGGAAUAUUGCGCAAUGGAGGCAACUCUGACGCAGCCAUGCCGCGUGCAGGAAGAAGGCGCUACGCGUUGUAAACUGCUUUUAACCGGGAAGAAACCCCAGGACGUGUCCUGGGUUGACGGUACCGGAGGAAUAAGCACCGGCUAACUUCGUGCCAGCAGCCGCGGUAAUACGAAGGGUGCAAGCGUUAUCCGGAUUCAUUGGGUUUAAAGGGUGCGUAGGCGGAGCGUUAAGUCAGUGGUGAAAUCCUGCAGCUUAACUGUAGGAGUGCCAUUGAUACUGGCGCUCUUGAGUGCGCUUGAAGUGGGCGGAAUGUGCCGUGUAGCGGUGAAAUGCUGAGAUAUGGCACAGAACACCAAUUGCGAAGGCAGCUCACUAAGGCGAUACUGACGCUGAGGCACGAAAGCGUGGGGAUCGAACAGGAUUAGAAACCCCGGUAGUCC
RNAcentral lists this ribosomal RNA (445 nucleotides) under uncultured bacterium. RNAcentral's name for it is "partial 16S ribosomal RNA". It matches the Rfam family "Bacterial small subunit ribosomal RNA", at positions 354 to 796 of the family's 1533-position model. The record is from RNAcentral.